This is a non-coding RNA of Capsicum annuum, 110 nucleotides long. Lineage: Eukaryota; Viridiplantae; Streptophyta; Magnoliopsida; Solanales; Solanaceae. The record is from Rfam.
GGGCUGAUGGUGGUGAGGCAAUCUCUCAAGUAUCCCUUAUAUCUCACCUAAGCUUUGGGAAGGGAUUCAACAUCUUUUUGAACAAAUACAGAAAUCUUGCCUCUAAGCUC